This is a long non-coding RNA of Erpetoichthys calabaricus (reedfish), 187 nucleotides long. RefSeq lists it as uncharacterized. The record is from RefSeq and is a predicted model, not a curated record. NCBI's taxonomy places the organism in Eukaryota, Metazoa, Chordata, Cladistia, Polypteriformes, Polypteridae. The transcript has 3 exons.
GUGGGUGUGAUCUCAGGUGAUUGGAUCAAUGUGGGUAUGACCUCAGGGGAUUGGAUCAAUGUGGGUGUAACCUCAGGUGAUUGGAUCAAUGUGGGUGUGAACUUAGGGGAUUGGAUCAAAGUGGGUGUGACCUCAGGUGAUUGGAUCAAAGUCACUUCUAGUUUCAGGUACAGUGUCUGCUUAUUGG